GACGAACGCUGGCGGCGUGCCUAAUACAUGCAAGUAGAACGCUGAAGGAGGAGCUUGCUUCUCCGGAUGAGUUGCGAACGGGUGAGUAACGCGUAGGUAACCUGCCUGGUAGCGGGGGAUAACUAUUGGAAACGAUAGCUAAUACCGCAUAACAGUAGAUGUUGCAUGACAUUUGCUUAAAAGGUGCAAUUGCAUCACUACCAGAUGGACCUGCGUUGUAUUAGCUAGUUGGUGAGGUAACGGCUCACCAAGGCGACGGUACAUAGCCGACCUGAGAGGGUGGUCGGCCACACUGGGACUGGGACACGGCCCAGACUCCUACGGGAGGCAGCAGUAGGGAAUCUUCGGCAAUGGACGGAAGUCUGACCGAGCAACGCCGCGUGAGUGAAGAAGGUUUUCGGAUCGUAAAGCUCUGUUGUAAGAGAAGAACGAGUGUGAGAGUGGAAAGUUCACACUGUGACGGUAUCUUACCAGAAAGGGACGGCUAACUACGUG
Molecule: ribosomal RNA, 495 nt
Filed under: uncultured bacterium
Lineage: Bacteria
Description: partial 16S ribosomal RNA
Rfam family: Bacterial small subunit ribosomal RNA
Source: RNAcentral